Molecule: long non-coding RNA, 5326 nt
Organism: Gorilla gorilla gorilla (western lowland gorilla)
Lineage: Eukaryota; Metazoa; Chordata; Mammalia; Primates; Hominidae
Exons: 3
Source: RefSeq, a predicted model, not a curated record
GAAGGAGGUUGGCGAAAUUUGGAUGGGGGCAGGGUAGAAUCUGGGAGAAAUCUCUGCAUCUCAGCCCUCAGCGACAACAUUCAGCCAGUGCCCACAGAAAAACUAAAUUCGGAACCUCUUCCUCCUGUUACACUGGCAACAAAGAGGGAGUUUCCGUAGCGCUCCCGUCACCCACCAGGUGCCCAAUCUCCUUCCCAGCCCAGAGUCGGCGCUCCCGCAGGGGCCUCCGAGUGCGGGGAGGCCGCGGGGCCCGGGUCACGGCACUAAGGGGGGAUGGGGUGCAAGCGAGCAAGCGAGGUCUGCGGAGCGGGCCGUGGAAGGGCUCCGGGACCCGCUGAAACCAUCUGAACCCAGCCAGGGGGCAGCGGGCAAGAGAAAAGGGGCAGAAUAUCUAAUGAAGCAGAAACUGGAAUUCGGUGGGAGAGGUGAAGAGCCCUUGCUGGGGGUACACCUGCGAGGAGCACAGAAAACGGGCGGCGGAUGGCGAGGAGACUCCACGGAGGUGGAAGAGAGGAGCCAGGCCCGGAAGAACAGGGAAGGGGAUGCCACCUGGGGCAGAGGAGGCGCCAGUGCAGCCUCUACCUGCCGGCGGGCGGGACGGGCCGCUCAGGUGUGACUGGGAGGAGGGGGCCGACUGGGGAAGGGGCCGGGAAGAGCUGAGGGCGCACUAGGGGCCGCGCAGAAGCGCCUGCGAGUCGGCAGCCGCGGAGCCAGCGCACGGGCAUCGGCGGGACCCGGAGGACGGAAAGGCGGAGUGGGGGUCUUUGGACUGCACGACUAUAAUUUCAUGUGUGUGAAAUUCAAGGGGAAAAAGGAAACAAUACAUAAUCCAGUCUGUAGCUUCUCAUGGAUCGUGCAAAGCACCACCAGGACAGACAUCUCAAGCACAUUUGAAGAGCUCCUGUUUCCUAAGUAAGACAGCAGCAGCAAGACUGCAAUCAUUUCUGGGAAGGCAGUAUCAUCAUAAUGCAAUAUUAGCUACUGUGAUCUUCUAUCAUUUCCUUCCUGGAGAGUUAUGACUGUGGCAUUGAAGAUUUAAGACCUACAGCCUGAACACUACUUACUACAAAUCUCUCACAAAGCUGCUGCAAGAAAUCUUGUGGAGGAAAGUCAUUGCAUAAAAAAAUCCUCAACUCCAGGGAGUUGGCCAUUUAUUUUCCUAGAAAAGGGGCUGUGAUGAGAGACACUCCAUGCUCCUUUAACUCCAUGGAACAGAACCCAACAAAACAUUCAUCAUGGAAAGUUGACUGAUGGGCCCAAUGAGACUAGCUGGGGAAGGAAGAUGGAAAGAGAAGUGCCCCAUCCAAGGCCUGCUCCUUUUCCUAGCUGCAGCCCGGAGGGAUUUCCUCUUAGCCUGAGUAUUGACUUUCCAUAGAAUCAGCACCACUGAGGGUAAGCUUCCCUGAAGACAAACUCUGUCAUUGGAGAGCUCAACCAGGGGUCUAAAACUGGACCCUAUGGACUCCACAGAUUUAUUUAGUCUGCACAGUGUUUAAAAAUGUUUUUAGUUAGGGCCAGGUAUGGUGGCUCCCACCUGUAAUCCCAGCACUUUGAGAGACCGAGGUGGGUGGAUCACCUAAGGUCAGGAGUUUGAGACCAGCCUGGCUAACAUGGCAAAACCCAGUCUCUACUAAAAAUAAAAAAAUUAGCUGGGCAUGGUGGCUCAGGCCUGUAAUCUCAGAUACUCGGGAGGCUGAGGCACAAGAAUCACUUGAACCUGGGAGGCGGAGGUUGCAGUGAGCCAAGAUCGCGCCAUUGCACUCCAGCUUGGGUGACAAGAGUGAAACUCCAUCUCAAAAAAAAAAAAAAAGUUUUUAGUUAGUUCCCAACAUAAAAAAUUAACAAUUUUGCAAAGAAAGAUAAAAUCCAGAUUUUGGGCUCCCCUAAACAAAUUGGGAUAGCUGAAAACAGUGGGCCACAUUCCUACAUUCCCGCCCCUGCUGACAGUAUGUGCCUGCUCUAAUUUUACUUCCCCUUUUACCCUAACUGCCCUGUAGGGAAUGGAGUUUGCAAUCCCCAUACUAAUCCAUCACCCUGCAGGUCCAUUCCCCUCCUCCCUGACCUCUGUUCUGAUAAGGGGUGAGAGAAUGAACCCCCAUAUGUAUUGAAUGGAAAAUACAUGUAUUGGCCAGGCACAGUGGCUCACACUUGGAAUCCCAGCACUUUGGGAGGCCAAGACGGGCAGAUCACCUGAGGUCAGGAGUUCAAGACCAGCCUGGCCAAUAUGGCGAAACCGUGUUUCUACUAAAAAUAAUUAAAAAACAAAAUUAGCCAGACAUGAUGGCAGGCACCUAUAAUCCCAACUACUCAGGAGGCUGGGGCAGGAGAAUCGUUUGAACCCAGGAGGCGGAGGCUGCAGUGAGCCAAGAUUGCACCAUGGCACUCCAGCCUGGGCAACAAGACUGAAACUCCAUCUCAAAAAAAAAUAAAAAUAAAAAUACAUGUAUUGAUGAGAAAAUACAACUGACUAAUCCCACCUAAACCAUGACCUCAUAUAAAUUCAGAAGAUCUUUCUAACAUGGCAGGGAGGCAGCCUAGUAUAAAGCAAAGAGCACAUGCUUUGCGAAUGUAAACCAAAAAAAAAAGUUGAAGGCCCUCCUCACCACAUGAAUGGUCUCCUUCCUUUGCCAGGGCACCCUAAAAUUUAACUGGUUGAGGCCAUGAUGGGUAGUAGGGGUUGGACAUGCCUCAUUAUACCCUUCCAGCAGUAACAUCAACACAGACUUUAAGUCUGAUAAGAAACAUUUACAGUCUAUUUUCUCUAAAGCCUGCUAUUUGGAGGUAUAAAACCUAGGUCUCCACAACCCCUAUUGUAACCCAGCCAUUUCUUUCUACUGAUAAUAAGUCUUUCAACCAAUUGCCAAUCAGAAUAUGUUUAAAUCUUCCUAUGAACUAGAAGCACCCCACUCUUUGAGUUUUCCAACUCUUCCAGAUUGAACCAAUGUAAAUGGUUCAAUUGAUUGAUGUGUUAUAUCUCCCUAAAGUGUAUAAAAGGAAGCUGUACCUCAACCAUCUUGGGCACGCGUCUUCAGGAACUCCUGAGUCUGUGUCACAGGUGUGUCCUUAACCUUGGCAAAGUAAACUUUCCAUUACUUAUAAUGGCAAAAACUGCAAUUACUUUUGCACCAACCUAAUAAAUGGAUUGAGACUUGCCUCAGAUACUUAUUGGUUUAUACCUAGAGGCAGACCUUGGCUCACAUCCCAUCUCUCCCUUACUCUGGGAUAUUGUCCAACUUGCUCAGCCUCUUGAAAUCUACUUUGCUUACAGCAAAAUGGGUAUAACGGGAUCUUUCACCCAAGCCUUUUGUGAGGACUAAAUGUGGUAAUGGACAUUAAGUGCCAAACCCCUUGAAUGUGCCAUCUUCUCUCAGCUUCUAUAAUGUCAUGCUGUCAGUUCCCUCCUUUUCUUUUUUUCUUUUUUUUUUUUUUUGAGACAGAGUCUUGCUCUGUUGCCCAGGCUGGAGUGCAGUGGCACGAUCUCGGCUCACUGCAAGCUCCGCCUCCCGGGUUCACGCCAUUCUCCUGCCUCAGCCUUCCGAGUAGCUGGGACUACAGGCGUCCAUCACCGCGCCUGGCUAAUUGUUUUUGUAUUUUUCGUAGAGACUGGGUUUCACAGUGGUCUCGAUCUCCUGACCUCGUGGUCCGCCCGCCUGGGCCUCCCAAAGUGCUGGGAUUACAGGUGUGAGCCACCGCGCCCAGCCUAGUUCCCUCCUUUUCAUGGCUUCUUUGCUUCAUCUUUUCUGUCUCCUUUGAAGGUAUGCCUUCCUGGAAUAUACCAUAAAUGUCAGUGUUCCUCAGGAUUCUAUCUUGACCUGACUCCCCCCACCCCACUGCUAGCUUUUCCCUCUGUCUAAUGCUGGUACAGAUACAUAAACUGAUAGGUAGAUUACAACACAAUUCGAUUUUCUGUUUUGCUUUUUUUUUUUUUUUGCUUAUUAUUACAUAAACUUUUUUUCAUUGCUGCCAUACAUUCUUCAAAAUAAACACUUCGGGGGGCGAGCUGGCCCAGCACUUUGGGAGGCCAAGGAGGUGGAUCACUUGAGGUCAGGAGUUCGAGACCAGCCUGACCAACAUGGUGAAACCCCCAUCUCUACUAAAAAUACAAAAAUUAGCCGGGUGUUGGGGCAAGCACCUGUAAUCUCAACUGCUCGGGAGGCUGAGGCAUGAAAAUCACUUGAACCCACGAGGCAGAGGUUGCAGUGAGCCAAUAUAGUACCACUGUACUCCAGCCUGGGCAACAGAGCUGCGAGACCUUGUCUCAAACAAAACAAAACAAAACAAAAUAAACACUUCAUGGCUGAACAAUAUGCCAUUUCCUGAAUAGAUUGUAAUUUACCUAAUCAUUUCUCUAAUAGUGGACACUUAGGUUGUUCUAAUUUUGAAAGGCAGGAAUACCAAGAAUGUUUUCUUGCACAUGGCAGAUUAUUUCUCAGUAUAGGCUCAUCCUUUCGAGUAUAUGGCAUCUUUUCUUCUUUCCCUCCUCUCUCUCCUCAGAAGUACUCAAGGCCCCGGAGAUACUUGGGCUGUAUCCCCACCAAUCUCAUCUUGAAUUGUAGCUCCCAUGAUUCCCAUGUAUCCUGGGAGGGACCCAGUGGGAGGUAAUUGAAUCAUGGGGGCAGGUCUUUCCCGUGCUGUUCUAGAGAUAGUGAAUGAGUCUCACAAGAUCUGAUGGUUUUAUAAAGGGCGGUUCCCCUACACAAGUUCUCUCUUGCCUGCCACUUUGCUCCUCAUUUGCUUUCUGCCAUGACUGUGAGCCCUCCCCAGCCAUGUGCAACUGUGAGUCAAUUAAACCUCUUUUCUUAAUAAAUUACCCAGUCUCUGGUAUGUCUGUAUUAGCAGUGUGAGACAGACUAAUACAGCCCUUAUGUGUCCAGAAGUACUGACUUUCUUGGAUGAUACACCUUAAGUAAAGCCUAAUAAAGCUUUAGUGACUGAUACAUUUUUUAAAAUGAAGUAAUUAUUUAUGUGUAAUGAGACAAAUUAUUUAUUUCAGAGUGUUAUUUGCCUUACUCUCUUCCCCCAGCAAAAGGAGUCCUCAAGUGGCCAGCCACAUUUUCUCAUUUCUCCUUUCUUCAAAAACUGAUGGGAUCUUGCUUGAUGAAGAGAAGUCACAUAACAAGUGAAUACAGCAAAGAGAGAGGGAAGGGGAAGGAAAUAGCUGUUGGGAAUGGAGUGUUGUUGGAUGAGCUUUGUGAAGUGUGGGAAGAGAAAGAUACUAGAGGAGACCGAGACAAAUGGAUAGGUGAAGAAACAGAAUUUUAGUAAGUGGUGCUGUAUGCUAUAUAUGUGGAUUUGCCUCAAAGUUUUAAAAAAUGGCAAGCAGAAA